RNAcentral lists this ribosomal RNA (1665 nucleotides) under human gut metagenome. Its description in RNAcentral is "bacterial LSU rRNA". It matches the Rfam family "Bacterial large subunit ribosomal RNA", at positions 980 to 2643 of the family's 2925-position model. The record is from RNAcentral.
GGAGACAGAGCACCGGGUGCUAACGUCCGGACUCAAAAGGGAAACAACCCAGACCGCCGGCUAAGGUCCCCAAUAACAGCUAAGUGGAAAACGAAGUGGAAAGGCCGUGACAACCAGGAAGUUGGCUUAGAAGCAGCCAUCCUUCAAAGAAAGCGUAAUAGCUCACUGGUCGAGUCCUUCUGCGCGGAAGAUGUAACGGGGCUAAGCUGUUAACCGAAGCCGCGGAUGCACUGAUUAUUCAGUGCGUGGUAGGGGAGCGUUCUGUAAGUCUGCGAAGGCGGUUCGAGAGGACUGCUGGAGAUAUCAGAAGUGCGAAUGCUGACAUGAGUAACGUUAAAGCAGGUGAAAAGCCUGCUCGCCGUAAGCCCAAGGAUUCCUGCUCUACGUUCAUCGGAGCAGGGUGAGUCGGCUCCUAAGGUCAGGCCGAAAGGCGUAGCCGAUGGGAAUCAGGUUAAUAUUCCUGAACCUGCGUCAGAUGCGAUGGGGGGACGGAGCAUGAAAGAUCAUCCGGGUGUUGGAUGUCCCGGUUGACGAGCGUAGGAGGUCUGCAGGCAAAUCCGCAGACGCAUCUCCAAGGCGAAGACACGUGCCGCCACGGCGGCGAAGUGAUCGGAAGUGCUUCCAAGAAAAGCCUCUAAGCACCAGUCUGACGCGGACCGUACCGCAAACCGACACUGGUGGGCGAGCUGAAUAUGCUCAGGCGCUUGAGAGAACUCGGGAGAAGGAACUCGGCAAAUUGACACCGUAACUUCGGAAGAAGGUGUGCCGUAGUACCGUGAGAGGAGAGACACCUUGAGCGGGAAUCGGUCUCAGAGAAUAGGUGGCUGCGACUGUUUAUUAAAAACACAGCACUCUGCAAAGUCGAAAGACGACGUAUAGGGUGUGAUGCCUGCCCGGUGCUGGAAGAUUAAUUGAUGGGGUGAGAGCCCUUGAUCGAAGUCCCAGUAAACGGCGGCCGUAACUAUAACGGUCCUAAGGUAGCGAAAUUCCUUGUCGGGUAAGUUCCGACCUGCACGAAUGGCAUAACGAUGGCCACACUGUCUCCUCCCGAGACUCAGUGAAGUUGAAAUGUUUGUGAUGAUGCAAUCUACCCGCGGCUAGACGGAAAGACCCCAUGAACCUUUACUGCAGCUUUGCAUUGAACUGUGAACCGAUUUGUGUAGGAUAGGUGGGAGGCAGAGAAGAGGCCACGCCAGUGGUCUUGGAGCCGACCUUGAAAUACCACCCUGAUUUGUUUGCGGUUCUAACCACGGACAGUGAUCCUGUCUUGGGACCGUGCAUGGUAGGCAGUUUGACUGGGGCGGUCUCCUCCUAAAGGGUAACGGAGGAGUACGAAGGUACGCUAGGUACGGUCGGAAAUCGUGCUGAUAGUGCAAUGGCAAAAGCGUGCUUGACUGCGAGAGCAACAACUCGAGCAGAUGCGAAAGCAGGUCAUAGUGAUCCGGUGGCUCUGAAUGGAAGGGCCAUCGCUCAACGGAUAAAAGGUACUCUGGGGAUAACAGGCUGAUACCGCCCAAGAGUUCAUAUCGACGGCGGUGUUUGGCACCUCGAUGUCGGCUCAUCUCAUCCUGGGGCUGUAGUCGGUCCCAAGGGUAUGGCUGUUCGCCAUUUAAAGAGGUACGUGAGCUGGGUUUAAAACGUCGUGAGACAGUUUGGUCCCUAUCU